UAGAAAAACCACAAUGUUUACAGCCCUGC
Molecule: non-coding RNA, 29 nt
Filed under: Rattus norvegicus (Norway rat)
Lineage: Eukaryota; Metazoa; Chordata; Mammalia; Rodentia; Muridae
Source: RNAcentral